AUUGCCCCAGUAACGGCGAGUGAAGCGGCAACAGCUCAAAUUUGAAAUCUGGCUUCGGCCCGAGUUGUAAUUUGUAGAGGAAGAUUUUGGUGAGGCACCUUCUGAGUCCCCUGGAACGGGGCGCCAUAGAGGGUGAGAGCCCCGUAUAGUUGGAUGCCUAGCCUGUGUAAAUCUCCUUCGACGAGUCGAGUAGUUUGGGAAUGCUGCUCUAAAUGGGAGGUAAAUUUCUUCUAAAGCUAAAUAUUGGCCAGAGACCGAUAGCGCACAAGUAGAGUGAUCGAAAGAUGAAAAGCACUUUGAAAAGAGGGUUAAACAGCACGUGAAAUUGUUGAAAGGGAAGCGCUUGUGACCAGACUUGCGCCGGGCGGAUCAUCCGGUGUUCUCACCGGUGCACUCCGCCCGGCUCAGGCCAGCAUCGGUUUUCGUGGGGGGAUAAAGGCCCGGGGAACGUAGCUCCUCCGGGAGUGUUAUAGCCCUGGGCGCAACGCCCUCGCGGGGACCGAGGUUCGCGCUUCUGCAAGGAUGCUGGCGUAAUGGUCAUCAGCGACCCGUCUUGAAACACGGACCAAGGAGUCAAGGUUUUGCGCGAGUGUUUGGGUGUAAAACCCGCACGCGUAAUGAAAGUGAACGUAGGUGAGAGCUUCGGCGCAUCAUCGACCGAUCCUGAUGUAUUCGGAUGGAUUUGAGUAGGAGCGUUAAGCCUUGGACCCGAAAGAUGGUGAACUAUGCUUGGAUAGGGUGAAGCCAGAGGAAACUCUGGUGGAGGCUCGCAGCGGUUCUGACGUGCAAAUCGAUCGUCAAAUCUGAGCAUGGGGGCGAAAGACUAAUCGAACC
Molecule: ribosomal RNA, 834 nt
Filed under: Podospora appendiculata
Lineage: Eukaryota; Fungi; Ascomycota; Sordariomycetes; Sordariales; Podosporaceae
Description: eukaryotic LSU rRNA
Rfam family: Eukaryotic large subunit ribosomal RNA
Source: RNAcentral